RNAcentral lists this ribosomal RNA (162 nucleotides) under Triticum aestivum (bread wheat). RNAcentral describes it as "partial small subunit ribosomal RNA". The record is from RNAcentral. Lineage: Eukaryota; Viridiplantae; Streptophyta; Magnoliopsida; Poales; Poaceae.
AUGAAUCAUGAGUUUAAUAGAUCCUAUUUAGCAGAAAGACGUAUAUUCCUUGCUCAUUAUCAGACAAUCAAUUAUCCCCAAACCUUGUGUGGGAUUAAUCAUUUUCAUUUACCAUCUCAUGGAAAACCCUUUUCGUUCCGCUUAGCCCUAUCGGGUAUUUAA